Molecule: ribosomal RNA, 255 nt
Filed under: uncultured bacterium
Lineage: Bacteria
Description: partial 16S ribosomal RNA
Rfam family: Bacterial small subunit ribosomal RNA
Source: RNAcentral
UACAGAGGGUGCAAGCGUUGUUCGGAAUUAUUGGGCGUAAAGCGCGUGUAGGCGGCUUUGCAAGUCGGGUGUGAAAGCCCUCAGCUCAACUGAGGAAGUGCGCCCGAAACUGCAGAGCUUGAGUACCGGAGAGGAUGGUGGAAUUCCCCAAGUAGAGGUGAAAUUCGUAGAUAUGGGGGAGGAACACCGGUGGCGAAGGCGACCAUCUGGACGGAUACUGACGCUGAGACGCGAAAAGCGUGGGUAGCAAACAGG